Molecule: ribosomal RNA, 482 nt
Filed under: uncultured bacterium
Lineage: Bacteria
Description: partial 16S ribosomal RNA
Rfam family: Bacterial small subunit ribosomal RNA
Source: RNAcentral
AUUGAACGCUGGCGGCAUGCCUUACACAUGCAAGUCGAACGGUAACAGGUCUUCGGAUGCUGACGAGUGGCGAACGGGUGAGUAAUACAUCGGAACGUGCCCGAUCGUGGGGGAUAACGAGGCGAAAGCUUUGCUAAUACCGCAUACGAUCUACGGAUGAAAGCGGGGGAUCUUCGGACCUCGCGCGGCCGGAGCGGCCGAUGGCAGAUUAGGUAGUUGGUGGGAUAAAAGCUUACCAAGCCGACGAUCUGUAGCUGGUCUGAGAGGAUGAUCAGCCACACUGGGACUGAGACACGGCCCAGACUCCUACGGGAGGCAGCAGUGGGGAAUUUUGGACAAAGGGCGAAAGCCUGAUCCAGCCAUGCCGCGUGCAGGAUGAAGGCCUUCGGGUUGUAAACUGCUUUUGUACGGAACGAAAAGCCUCUUUCUAAUAAAGAGGGGUCAUGACGGUACCGUAAGAAUAAGCACCGGCUAACUACGUG